GACGAACGCUGGCGGCGUGCUUAACACAUGCAAGUCGAACGGUGAAGGGGUCUGCUUUUGUGGGCCCUGGAUGAGUGGCGAACGGGUGAGUAACACGUGAGUAACCUGCCCCCUUCUUCUGGAUAACCGCAUGAAAGUGUGGCUAAUACGGGAUAUUCUGGGUCUGUCGCAUGAUGGGUCUGGGAAAGAUUGCGCCUUUGGGUGUUUUUGGUGGGGGAUGGGCUCGCGGCCUAUCAGCUUGUUGGUGGGGUGAUGGACUACCAAGGCGGUGACGGGUAGCCGGCCUGAGAGGGUGGACGGUCACACUGGGACUGAGACACGGCCCAGACUCCUACGGGAGGCAGCAGUGGGGAAUAUUGCACAAUGGGCGCAAGCCUGAUGCAGCGACGCCGCGUGAGGGAUGGAGGCCUUCGGGGUGUAAACCUCUUUCGCCAGUGAAGCAGGCCUGCUCCUUGUGGGUGGGUUGACGGUAGCUGGAUAAGAAGCGCCGGCUAACUACGUG
RNAcentral lists this ribosomal RNA (502 nucleotides) under uncultured bacterium. RNAcentral describes it as "partial 16S ribosomal RNA". It matches the Rfam family "Bacterial small subunit ribosomal RNA", at positions 28 to 507 of the family's 1533-position model. The record is from RNAcentral.